GAAACAAAUAUAAAAAUCAUAUUUGGCUCUACAAAGUUAAUCAUUUUAAAUAUAUUUAAAGAGGACUUGCGAUGCACCAAGCAAGUUCUGAGUUGUAGGAUAUAAUUAUUAACAGGACAGACUUAGUCUUUGUUCUUGAAACGCAUACCUGGAAUAGAGACAGACAAUAAACAAUGACCAAUGUGAUGGAUAUUUACAAAGGGACAGCGCAAUGUGCAAUAGAAGUGUUCUAGGUCAUUUGGAAAUGAAUGGUUCUACUAAUGUCAGUUUUAAAACUGAAAUUGGCCCUUUCAAACCAUAAAAUCUAGUUAUUUUUCACUUCCUUGUUGGUGAAGUGAACCAACAAAGUGGUCUUCUUUUAACUGCUUAAACAUAUCGUAUACUGGCCAGCCAUAGGAUUUGAGAUGACCCUUGGGUUUGGCAAGAUGGAGGUUAUGUGGUUAUGUUAGUUUGGGUUGUCCAGGAAAUAGAUGCUAAGACAGAGUUAGAAGCAUAAGAGACUUAUUGGCAAUAACAUUUGUGAAAAUUAAAGGGGAGGGAAGUCAGCCGGGAAAGCCUUCAGACUGUAAUGAAAGGAAGAAAGAAGGAUCAGGCAGGAAGAGCCUCAGACUGAGGUGCAGCUGAGAAAGUUUUGGCCAGCCUUGUGUGGAGCUCCAGCACAGAGACUUCCCAUUGAGGAUUUCCACACCGGACAGAGAAGAUGAGUCCUUGGACUGCGGCAGUGCUCUGUUACGCACUGCAGGCUCCUACCCUGUGCUCAUGCCAUCUUCCGCAGGAGUUCCUCACUUCUGUCAGGAGACCCUCUCUCUACAAAGCUCCCUUGGGCUUUGGUAAUUAUCCUUCUUGCUCCUUCAGGCACCCUAUUGAUGAUAGCGUUGGGGUACUUCACAACCCACUGUUGUUUCCUUGCCCCUACCCACAGCCUUGAAGAGUGCCUUUAUACACAUUUCCCCAAAUCACCCAAUUUAAAUGUGCCAUUUGCUUCUGCUAGAACCCUGAUUCUUUUGGAGUCACUGGUGACUAAGAAGAGAGUAUUUUCCUUGGAAAUGGUAGAAGCAAAUAGCUGACUGGAGUGGGUUCAAGAAAGAAUGGGAAAUGGCAAGAGGGAGGCAUGAGAAUAAGCAACUCACUUGAGGGGAUUUCCUUGCAAGGGAAGACAGAAUAAUGGGCAAGUGGUGAAGAGAGGCCUGGGGAAGGGUUUUGCUUUUCUUUUUGGAUAAGCUAUACUAUGGUGUUUGCAUGCAGAUGAGAAUGAUCUAUAAGAAAGAGAAGUUUAUUCUACAGGAGUUGCUUGGAGAAGCAAAGUCGUUGAGCAGCUCAGAGUUGAUGGAAUCUAGAGCACAGCUGACCACAGUGACAAGAUAGGGUGCCCAGAGCAACCAGAUAGAGGGCAGAAUUUAGGGGUAGGUUGAGAAUGGCAAGAUUAAGUUGUCUGCUUCUGACCGCUUCUACUUUCUCAGUAAAAUAGCAAACAAAAUCAUCAGGAGUGGAGAUAGUGUGAUGGCAUUUGAGAAGAAAAUGGGGUCAAACUGUGGACGAUGAAUGGAUUGAAGGAAUGUUAUCAGACAGCAGGGCCCACUUGAGAUUUGGGGCCAUACAUUUAAAGUAAGACUAGUAAGCAGAGCCACAUAAUUUUCUCCAGUCACAUCUCCCUGUUUGGAUACAGGUGUGGAGAAGGCACAGUUAGGUUUUGCCAGGCCAGUAUGACAAAGGAUGUGGAGGAUGUGCGUGGUUGAGGGCAGGGAUGAUGAAGUGAAGGCUGUGAGAUGGUGGUCAUGCUUGUUAUACUGUCACCCUCUGCCCCGAGAGUCCACCCUUUUCUUCUGUGAGAGGCAAAUGUCUGCAGACUGCAUUACUGUCACUAUACACCAAACCUUGCCCUUGACUUCCUGUUGGAAUAGGACUGGAAGUCUGUGGAAGACACUGGCCAAAAAUCAGAGACUUUUGGGUACUUAUUUAUACUCCCAUCCUUCCUUGCCUUACUAUGGUUCCGACAGUGGCUAUGUUUGUUCUCCUGUGGCCACUGCCUGUGUCAGGUAGAUUUUCUGUUACUGUUUCAGCUCUAAGGGGGCUCCAGGGAGCUCAUUCCCUCCCCUACCACUUCAGGCUGUUGGUUGUAAUAGCUUCCCAUGCUCCUACUCCCUGGAUACUUCACCAUCCCUUGUUGGUUCCUUCAACCUGUUACUCUUCUGUGAAUAGGUCCUUCAUUAAACUCUCUCCAGCUAAACACUUUUGAGUGAGUCAUCUGUUUCUUGCCAGUUCUCUGUCAGAGAUGGAGGACAGGAAACUAGUGCUAGGGUCUCUGACUUGGAGGCACCUGUGGGGCUGAAGAAUUGUUGUGGAGGGUAGAUGGCUGAGGAGGAAGUAGUGAGAGAGUAGGUUCCUGGAAAUGACUUCACAGGUUGUGCAGUCACUGGCAAUGAGAUGCACAGGGUAAAAAGGUGGGAGUGGGUAGCUGAGGUGGAUGGAGGAGGAGAGCUUUGGGAGUGAGAAGUCAAGGGAGUAGGAGGCUAAGGUGCUUGGCACACACUUUACAUAGAUGCUAAAUCACCAAGAAUGACUGAAGAAGAGUGGACAGGGAGCCAGUGAGGGAGCUGGCCACUGACAUCUACUGUGAAUGAGGAAGAGCCUGAGAGACUGGCAGAUGAUUGCCAAAGGAGGGUAGUGGGUAGUGUAGUUUGAGGGCACGGACUUCCAGAAAAGCUGAGGUUUUUGAGCAAGGGAGAAUUGUUGUCAGCAGCAAUGAGGAUCAUGAAAGACACCCACUCCAUCCCUAGGCUCUGUGGUAUGUGGUGCGUUGGAGGGCAGAAAGAGCCACCUAUUGAGAAGGCUCUAGGGGAAGCAGCUUUCAGUUUUCAUUUAGAGCUGCCUCCAGGUUUCUGGGCAAGAAGGUGAAGAAAACAUUCGGAAAGAGGCAGGCCUGGCCCAGUACCCAGCACAAAGCAGACAAAGGUCCUCCUCAAGAAGAGCAACCCCAAGACACAUAAUCAUCAGAUUCACCAAGGUUGAAAUGAAGGAAAAAAUGUUAAGG
Long non-coding RNA from Sapajus apella (tufted capuchin), 3031 nucleotides. RefSeq lists it as uncharacterized. The record is from RefSeq and is a predicted model, not a curated record. The transcript is spliced from 3 exons. NCBI's taxonomy places the organism in Eukaryota, Metazoa, Chordata, Mammalia, Primates, Cebidae.